Molecule: ribosomal RNA, 1330 nt
Filed under: uncultured Bordetella sp.
Lineage: Bacteria; Pseudomonadati; Pseudomonadota; Betaproteobacteria; Burkholderiales; Alcaligenaceae
Description: partial 16S-23S ribosomal RNA intergenic spacer
Rfam family: Bacterial small subunit ribosomal RNA
Source: RNAcentral
AAAGGUAGCUAAUGGGCAUACGUCCCUCGGGGGAAAGCGGGGACCUUCGGGCCUCGCACUAUUAGAGCAGCUGAUAUCGGAUUAGCUAGUUGGUGGGGUAACGGCUCACCAAGGCGACGAUCCGUAGCUGGUUUGAGAGGACGACCAGCCACACUGGGACUGAGACACGGCCCAGACUCCUACGGGAGGCAGCAGUGGGGAAUUUUGGACAAUGGGGGAAAUCCCUGAUCCAGCCAUCCUUGGCGUGUGCGAUGAAGGCCUCGGGUUGUAAAGCACUUUUGGCAGGAGAAACGGCAUCGAUAACACCGUGCAACUGACGGUACCCGGCAAGGGCGAACGGCAAUUCACGCCAGCAGCCGCGGCAAUACGGGUGCAAGCAGCACCGGAAUUACUGGGCGUAAAGCGUGCGCAGGCGGUCUGGAAAGAAAGAUGUGAAACUUCCAGAGCUGAACUGGAACCGCAUUUUAACUACCGAGCUAGAGGUAACAGAGGGAGGUGGAAUUCCGCGUAGCAGUGAAAUGCGUAGAUAUGCGGAGGAACACCGAUGGCGAAGGCAGCCUCCUGGGAUAACACUGACGCCUGCACGAAAGCGUGGGAGCAAACAUAGAUUAUGAUACCCUGGUAGUCCACGCCCUAAACGAUGUCAGAAUCUAGCUGCUGGGGCCCGGGCCUUUGGUAGCGCAGCUAACGCGUGAAGUUGACCGCCUGGGGAGUACGGUCGCAAGAUUAUAACUCAAAAAUAUGAAUUGAUGGGGACCCGCACCAAGCGUGGAUGAUGUGGAUUAAUUCGAUGCAACGCGAAAACCUUACCUACCCUUGACAUGUCUGGAAUCCCGAAGAGAUUUGGGAGUGCUCGCAAGAGAACCGGAACACAGGUGCUGCAUGGCUGUCGUCAGCUCGUGUCGAGAUGUUGGGUUAAGUCCUGCAACGAGCAACCUCUUGGGGGUCGCCGAAGUACACAGGGCACUCUGAAUGAGACUGCCGGUGACAAACCGGAGGAAGGUGGGGAUGACGUCAAGUCCUCAUGGCCCUUAUGGGUAGGGCUUCACACGUCAUACAAUGGUCGGGACAGAGGGUCGCCAACCCGCGAGGGGGAGCCAAUCCCAGAAACCCGAUCGUAGUCCGGAUCGCAGUCUGCAACUGACUGCGUGGGAAGUCGGAAUCGCUGGGAACUGCGAUCAGCAUGUCGCGGUGAAUACGUUCCCGGGUCUUGUACACACCGCCCGUCACCAAUCAUGGGAGUGGGUUUUACCAGAAGUAGUUAGCCUAACCGUAAGGAGGGCGAUUACCACGGUAGGAUUCAUGACUGGGUGAAGUCGUAACAAGGCAG